UGGCUUUGAGGACUGCGAACGCUAUAGCAGGUUUACCUUGAGUCUCUCCCACAACGAAUAGCUACCAUCAAUCAAAUACCUCGAUCUGUACACAAAAAAUGUACAGAAGUGUAGUAUCGGCACAACCGACCCCAUGUCCUGGUAAGUGUCGAGCCUACCCCGGCAAAGUAGUGACAAGGCUAGGACCAGACACUCACAUAAACCUGUG
Molecule: long non-coding RNA, 208 nt
Filed under: Nicotiana benthamiana
Lineage: Eukaryota; Viridiplantae; Streptophyta; Magnoliopsida; Solanales; Solanaceae
Description: long non-coding RNA (NBEN_LNC033141)
Source: RNAcentral